This is a long non-coding RNA of Erinaceus europaeus (western European hedgehog), 768 nucleotides long. RefSeq lists it as uncharacterized. NCBI's taxonomy places the organism in Eukaryota, Metazoa, Chordata, Mammalia, Eulipotyphla, Erinaceidae. The transcript has 3 exons. The record is from RefSeq and is a predicted model, not a curated record.
CAAAAAACCUCCAGGAGCAGUGGAUUUGUGCAGGCAACGAGCCCCAGCCAUAACCUUGGAGAAAUACGAGUGACCAGGGGCUGACCGGUGAUGUAUCCUGCAGAGUGCACACCUUACAGUGUGCCAGGUGCCCAGCAGCCUCCCACAGAACCUGAUAUUCAGUCCCCACCAGAAGACCUGGCUGUAUGUGCACCUGCUAUGUGACCUGAGGAACGACUGUGAGGACUGUGCGGACAAGUCAGGUAAAGGGAGACCGCUGGGCGUCCGGAGGGCGGCCCUCACCCUUCAGCUCCACACGCUGGCUCAGAACUCGUCUGAAGGAGAUUCCCACUCGUGGAUACACAGGCUAUAGCUGGAAUGUCAGAGCAGUGCCCGAGUAUCCGGGCUGGAGAUGUGGUACUGUUUUCUUUGCUGACUGCCUGCAGCCCCAGAAGUCGCUGCAAGAACGGUGUUCAGGACUGUGCUGAUUGGAGUGAUGAAAAUAUCUGUGAAUAGAAGGCUUGUCUGAUCACUGCUCCGGAAAAGCUGAAAACUGUUCUUUGUUACUGUAAUACAGAAAAAAGGGGGGGGGUGGAGGAAAAGGAGAAAAAGGCGUGCAUGCAUCUUAUGGGGCAGGGGUCUAACACAGGCACCCGGUGUUAUGGGGUGGAGAAAUACUAGUGGGAGCCAGACCAAACUUUUAGUGGUUUCCAGUCCAUUUCUGGACUCACCUACAAAAUGUAAAAGGUAAUUUUCUGUCCUGUGCAUCAGAGUUGUUAGGAGGGUAAC